AGUAAUGUCUGGGAAACUGCCUGAUGGAGGGGGAUAACUACUGGAAACGGUAGCUAAUACCGCAUAACGUCUUCGGACCAAAGUGGGGGACCUUCGGGCCUCACGCCAUCGGAUGUGCCCAGAUGGGAUUAGCUAGUAGGUGGGAUAAUGGCUCACCUAGGCGACGAUCCCUAGCUGGUCUGAGAGGAUGACCAGCCACACUGGAACUGAGACACGGUCCAG
RNAcentral lists this ribosomal RNA (222 nucleotides) under uncultured bacterium. RNAcentral's name for it is "partial 16S ribosomal RNA". It matches the Rfam family "Bacterial small subunit ribosomal RNA", at positions 109 to 334 of the family's 1533-position model. The record is from RNAcentral.